AAUCAACGCUGGCGGCGUGCCUCAGACAUGCAAGUCGAACGAUUAAACUUCCCUUCGGGGCAGAUAUACAGUGGCGCACGGGUGAGUAACACGUAGGUAAUGUACCUUUGGGUGGGGAAUAACUUAGGGAAACUUAAGCUAAUACCGCAUAAUGCAGCGGCUCCUUCGGGAGACAGUUGUUAAAGAUUUAUCGCCUAAAGAGCAGCCUGCGGCAGAUUAGCUAGUUGGUAAGGUAACGGCUUACCAAGGCUACGAUCUGUAUCCGACCUGGGAGGGUGGUCGGACACACUGACACUGAAGAGCGGGGCAGACUCGUACGGGAGGAAGCAGUCGGGAAUUUUGGGGAAUGGGCGAAAGCCUGACCCAGCAACGCCGCGUGAAGGAUGAAGUCUUUCGGGAUGUAAACUUCGUAAGAAUAGGAAGAAUAAAUGACGGUACUAUUUGUAAGGACCGGCUAACUACGUG
RNAcentral lists this ribosomal RNA (465 nucleotides) under uncultured bacterium. Its description in RNAcentral is "partial 16S ribosomal RNA". It matches the Rfam family "Bacterial small subunit ribosomal RNA", at positions 32 to 507 of the family's 1533-position model. The record is from RNAcentral.